Molecule: ribosomal RNA, 402 nt
Filed under: uncultured bacterium
Lineage: Bacteria
Description: partial 16S ribosomal RNA
Rfam family: Bacterial small subunit ribosomal RNA
Source: RNAcentral
AAUAUUGCACAAUGGAGGAAACUCUGAUGCAGCGACGCCGCGUGAGUGACGAAGGCCUUCGGGUUGUAAAGCUCUGUUCUCAGGGAAAAAGUAAGUGAUUGUACCUGCGGAGAAAGGACCGGCUAACUUCGUGCCAGCAGCCGCGGUAAGACGAGGGGUCCAAGCGUUGUUCGGAAUCAUUGGGCGUAAAGCGGGUGCAGGUGGCUUCGUAAGUCAGGAGUGAAAGCCCCGAGCUUAACUUGGGAAGUGCUUUUGAUACUGCGGAGCUUGAGUGUGGGAGAGGAUAGUGGAAUUCCUGGUGUAGUGGUGAAAUACGUAGAUAUCAGGAGGAACACCGGUGGCGAAGGCGGCGAUCUGGCCCAACACUGACACUCAGACCCGAAAGCGUGGGGAUCAAACAGG